GGGGAUGUAGCUCAGUGGCAGAGUGCUUGCCUUGAAUGCACCAUCCCUGGGUUUAAUCCUAGCACCACCA
Molecule: transfer RNA, 70 nt
Filed under: Ictidomys tridecemlineatus (thirteen-lined ground squirrel)
Lineage: Eukaryota; Metazoa; Chordata; Mammalia; Rodentia; Sciuridae
Description: Spermophilus tridecemlineatus (thirteen-lined ground squirrel) tRNA
Rfam family: tRNA
About the family: Transfer RNA (tRNA) molecules are approximately 80 nucleotides in length.
Source: Rfam by way of RNAcentral